Non-coding RNA from Lonchura striata (white-rumped munia), 1137 nucleotides. The record is from RefSeq and is a predicted model, not a curated record. Lineage: Eukaryota; Metazoa; Chordata; Aves; Passeriformes; Estrildidae.
UGCCUUUUUUUCCUGGAGGAGGAUUCGCUGUCACAAGAACGUGUGGAAGAGAAACCAAAGCACUUACAGAGUUAUGUAGUUUGAGGUAGAGAGGGCCAGGGUGCUGUCCUGUGAUCUCCAGCCCCUACAGCUUAUCACCUGAUGCAUAUUGAUGCGUGGGGAAGCAGGGGGAGCAGAAUGACAAUCACAUUGACCAGUUAAAUGAAAUACUACUGGACCAGCCAAGGGGCAGAUAGAGAGUUAAAGCACACAGAGGCAAAAUAAUCCUCAUCCUGCCCUCUCCUGGGCACAUACCUAGAGAACUUCAAUAGGUAGAGAUUUUGUGAAGGGACGAUUCGGUUGCAUCAAGUGGAAAGAAAACCCCGGGUUACAGCAGAAAUGUCAGGGUAUUUCCCUCCCAGAAUGGUCAGCUUGCUACAGCAAUAUAGAAACACAAAAGAAAUUCCCAGGAAAGGUAAUGCAAAUGGAGAAAUACAGCUAAACCCAUCUAAACAGAGUAGAAGCUGAUCUCUUAAAAUUCCACACCUUGUCUUUCUUUUGAAACAGUCACAUCAUUUUGUUCUUUGCAUUUUCAGCUCGAGCUCUCAGGAAAGAUAGAAGCUGGUAGGAGACAGACACUGAUAAAGGCUGUACUGGCAAAGUGUCAGGCUCCCUUCAGUUACUGAAAGGCCAAAUUAGAUCACCCUGAAGCUGCCUCUUCUCCAGGAUGAAAAAUCCCAGUUCUCUCAGCCUUUCUUCAUAGGAGAAAUUCUUCAUUCCUCUGAUCAUCUUGGUGGCCUUCUCUGGACUUAUGCCAACAGGUCAAUAUCCUUUCUGUGCUGGAUAAAAGUUCAUGUACUCUGAACCCAGAACUGGAUGCAGUGUUCUGUACUCAAAUGCAUGCAUGAAAAUGGGUGAGCUCCUAGUCUACCACACCACCACUUGCUGGUUUCGGUGAACUCUGAAUUUCUGCUGGCCACCAAAGCAUUAACAGGAGAUUUUUCUGUAACAGGGCUGGUAUCUUAAUCCUUUUGUGUUCUUUACUGAUGUUUAUACCCUUCCACCACCACCUGCCUUUCACCCACCAGUGAAUAAAUGUCAGGUCCUGAUUCUUAACACUUUGAUGUGGACAAAUGGAAAUAAAAUCACUACAAUCAA